GCCUGGUAGCGGGGGAUAACUAUUGGAAACGAUAGCUAAUACCGCAUAACAGUAGAUGUUGCAUGACAUUUGCUUAAAAGGUGCAAUUGCAUCACUACCAGAUGGACCUGCGUUGUAUUAGCUAGUUGGUGGGGUAACGGCUCACCAAGGCGACGAUACAUAGCCGACCUGAGAGGGUGAUCGGCCACACUGGGACUGAGACACGGCCCAG
Molecule: ribosomal RNA, 211 nt
Filed under: uncultured bacterium
Lineage: Bacteria
Description: partial 16S ribosomal RNA
Rfam family: Bacterial small subunit ribosomal RNA
Source: RNAcentral